This 485-nucleotide ribosomal RNA is filed under the name Lacticaseibacillus rhamnosus. RNAcentral's name for it is "bacterial SSU rRNA". It matches the Rfam family "Bacterial small subunit ribosomal RNA", at positions 183 to 654 of the family's 1533-position model. Lineage: Bacteria; Bacillati; Bacillota; Bacilli; Lactobacillales; Lactobacillaceae. The record is from RNAcentral.
GAACCGCAUGGUUCUUGGCUGAAAGAUGGCGUAAGCUAUCGCUUUUGGAUGGACCCGCGGCGUAUUAGCUAGUUGGUGAGGUAACGGCUCACCAAGGCAAUGAUACGUAGCCGAACUGAGAGGUUGAUCGGCCACAUUGGGACUGAGACACGGCCCAAACUCCUACGGGAGGCAGCAGUAGGGAAUCUUCCACAAUGGACGCAAGUCUGAUGGAGCAACGCCGCGUGAGUGAAGAAGGCUUUCGGGUCGUAAAACUCUGUUGUUGGAGAAGAAUGGUCGGCAGAGUAACUGUUGUCGGCGUGACGGUAUCCAACCAGAAAGCCACGGCUAACUACGUGCCAGCAGCCGCGGUAAUACGUAGGUGGCAAGCGUUAUCCGGAUUUAUUGGGCGUAAAGCGAGCGCAGGCGGUUUUUUAAGUCUGAUGUGAAAGCCCUCGGCUUAACCGAGGAAGUGCAUCGGAAACUGGGAAACUUGAGUGCAGAAG